This 497-nucleotide ribosomal RNA is filed under the name uncultured bacterium. RNAcentral's name for it is "partial 16S ribosomal RNA". It matches the Rfam family "Bacterial small subunit ribosomal RNA", at positions 28 to 507 of the family's 1533-position model. The record is from RNAcentral.
GAUGAACGCUGGCGGCGUGCCUAAUACAUGCAAGUCGAGCGAACGGACGAGAAGCUUGCUUCUCUGAUGUUAGCGGCGGACGGGUGAGUAACACGUGGAUAACCUACCUAUAAGACUGGGAUAACUUCGGGAAACCGGAGCUAAUACCGGAUAAUAUUUUGAACCGCAUGGUUCAAAAGUGAAAGACGGUCUUGCUGUCACUGAUAGAUGGAUCCGCGCUACAUUAGCUAGUUGGUAAGGUAACGGCUUACCAAGGCAACGAUGCAUAGCCGACCUGAGAGGGUGAUCGGCCACACUGGAACUGAGACCCGGUCCAGACUCCUACGGGAGGCAGCAGUAGGGAAUCUUCCGCAAUGGGCGAAAGCCUGACGGAGCAACGCCGCGUGAGUGAUGAAGGUCUUCGGAUCGUAAAACUCUGUUAUUAGGGAAGAACAUAUGUGUAAGUAACUGUGCACAUCUUGACGGUACCUAAUCAGAAAGCCACGGCUAACUACGUG